UAUCAUGCAGUCGAGCGGACCGAAGGGAGCUUGCUCCUUUAGAUUAGCGGCGGACGGGUGAGUAACACGUGGGCAACCUGCCCUGCAGACUGGGAUAACUUCGGGAAACCGGAGCUAAUACCGGAUAACACCGAAAACCGCAUGGUUUUCGGUUGAAAGGCGGCUUUUAGCUGUCACUGCAGGAUGGGCCCGCGGCGCAUUAGCUAGUUGGUGAGGUAACGGCUCACCAAGGCGACGAUGCGUAGCCGACCUGAGAGGGUGACCGGCCACACUGGGACUGAGACACGGCCCAGACUCCUACGGGAGGCAGCAGUAGGGAAUCUUCCGCAAUGGACGAAAGUCUGACGGAGCAACGCCGCGUGAGCGAAGAAGGUCUUCGGAUCGUAAAGCUCUGUUGUCAGGGAAGAACAAGUGCCGUUCGAACAGGGCGGUACCUUGACGGUACCUGACGAGGAAGCCACGGCUAACUACGUGCCAGCAGCCGCGGUAAU
RNAcentral lists this ribosomal RNA (491 nucleotides) under uncultured bacterium. RNAcentral's name for it is "bacterial SSU rRNA". It matches the Rfam family "Bacterial small subunit ribosomal RNA", at positions 51 to 524 of the family's 1533-position model. The record is from RNAcentral.